Molecule: ribosomal RNA, 1106 nt
Filed under: Allomonas enterica
Lineage: Bacteria; Pseudomonadati; Pseudomonadota; Gammaproteobacteria; Vibrionales; Vibrionaceae
Description: bacterial SSU rRNA
Rfam family: Bacterial small subunit ribosomal RNA
Source: RNAcentral
CCAAACUGUAACUGCAACCCGUCCCAUAUUCCACACGGGACGCAAGCUGGGGGGAUAAUUUGGCACAAUGGGCGCAGCCUGGUGCAGCAUGCGGGGUGAUAGAAGAACGCUUCGGGUUGUAAAGUACUUCAGCAGGGAGGAAGGAGGUAUCGUUAUAGCGGUAUCUUUGACGUUAGCUGCAGAAGAAGCACCGGCUAACUCCGUGCCAGCAGCCGCGGUAAUACGGAGGGUGCGAGCGUUAAUCGGAAUUACUGGGCGUAAAGCGCAUGCAGGUGGUUGUUAAGUCAGAUGUGAAAGCCCGGGGCUCAACCUCGGAAUUGCAUUUGAAACUGGCAGGCUAGAGUACUGUAGAGGGGGGUAGAAUUUCAGGUGUAGCGGUGAAAUGCGUAGAGAUCUGAAGGAAUACCGGUGGCGAAGGCGGCCCCCUGGACAGAUACUGACACUCAGAUGCGAAAGCGUGGGGAGCAAACAGGAUUAGAUACCCUGGUAGUCCACGCCGUAAACGAUGUCUACUUGGAGGUUGUGGCCUUGAGCCGUGGCUUUCGGAGCUAACGCGUUAAGUAGACCGCCUGGGGAGUACGGUCGCAAGAUUAAAACUCAAAUGAAUUGACGGGGGCCCGCACAAGCGGUGGAGCAUGUGGUUUAAUUCGAUGCAACGCGAAGAACCUUACCUACUCUUGACAUCCAGAGAACUUAGCAGAGAUGCUUUGGUGCCUUCGGGAACUCUGAGACAGGUGCUGCAUGGCUGUCGUCAGCUCGUGUUGUGAAAUGUUGGGUUAAGUCCCGCAACGAGCGCAACCCUUAUCCUUGUUUGCCAGCGAGUAAUGUCGGGAACUCCAGGGAGACUGCCGGUGAUAAACCGGAGGAAGGUGGGGACGACGUCAAGUCAUCAUGGCCCUUACGAGUAGGGCUACACACGUGCUACAAUGGCGCAUACAGAGGGCGGCCAACUUGCGAAAGUGAGCGAAUCCCAAAAAGUGCGUCGUAGUCCGGAUUGGAGUCUGCAACUCGACUCCAUGAAGUCGGAAUCGCUAGUAAUCGUGAAUCAGAAUGUCACGGUGAAUACGUUCCCGGGCCUUGUACACACCGCCCGUCACACCAUGGGA